UUUCCGUAGGUGAACCUGCGGAAGGAUCAUUGCCGAUUUAUCAUUUGGGGGAGACGCUCUCUCCCCCGACCGACACCUCCGUGCACUCUGGGAGAGGCCUCUCGAAAGAGGGUCCCCCCUCCCGUUUUACGAACGCCUCGUAGUCUCGCGCGUGUCAGUGAAAUAAAAAUCGAAACACAACUUUCAACAACGGAUCUCUUGGCUCUC
Molecule: unclassified non-coding RNA, 207 nt
Filed under: root metagenome
Description: partial contains small subunit ribosomal RNA, internal transcribed spacer 1, and 5.8S ribosomal RNA
Source: RNAcentral